Molecule: ribosomal RNA, 253 nt
Filed under: uncultured bacterium
Lineage: Bacteria
Description: partial 16S ribosomal RNA
Rfam family: Bacterial small subunit ribosomal RNA
Source: RNAcentral
UACAGAGGGUGCAAGCGUUACUCGGAAUUACUGGGCGUAAAGCGUGCGCAGGCGGUUUGCUAAGACCGAUGUGAAAUCCCCGGGCUUAACCUGGGAACUGCAUUGGUGACUGGCAAGCUAGAGUGUGGCAGAGGGGGGUAGAAUUCCACGUGUAGCAGUGAAAUGCGUAGAGAUGUGGAGGAAUACCGAUGGCGAAGGCAGCCCCCUGGGCCAACACUGACGCUCAUGCACGAAAGCGUGGGGAGCAAACAGG